This 530-nucleotide long non-coding RNA is filed under the name Ictidomys tridecemlineatus (thirteen-lined ground squirrel). RNAcentral's name for it is "lncRNA (ENSSTOG00000034940.1)". The record is from RNAcentral. Lineage: Eukaryota; Metazoa; Chordata; Mammalia; Rodentia; Sciuridae.
CUAAUUUUUGAAAACUGCCCCCUUUCUUGUUUUGCCUGUGUCUAAAGACUUCAGAUGCUCAGAGAAAGUACCUGAUGCUGAAAGACAGGAAAUUGAACAAUGUCACCCAAAUAUGCCUUGUGUCAUGCAUGCACUGUUACAGCUGUAAGCUUUGGAUGUGAAUCCUGCCAAAUUGUGGCAUGGCACUCAACCCCUCAAUAAGAAGUCAACAGUCAGUCCCAGUCAGCACUGUGAGAACUCCAGAAAACAUCUCAAACCUGGACCUUGCUCCAAGGAGCUGAUAAUGGUUUCUCUUCCAUUCUCCCAAACCAAGUAUCCACUUAAAAAGCUGGAAGUUUCUUCUUAGAAACUUCUUCGCUGUUGCAAGAAUCUUCAGAAGCCUGGAUUCUGAACAGUCUCGCCUAAAAAUUUCUAGAAUUAACUUCCUUUCUUCUAUGACUGUCGGCGUGCUCUAUCAAAGAAGCUUUUUAGGCCUUGCUGAUUGGCAUGAUAUUGAAGAACAGCCAGAUAUGGAGCAAAAUUCUCCUUGA